This 21-nucleotide transfer RNA is filed under the name Restrepiella ophiocephala. Its description in RNAcentral is "partial tRNA-Gln". RNAcentral also lists the same sequence under 5 other names. Lineage: Eukaryota; Viridiplantae; Streptophyta; Magnoliopsida; Asparagales; Orchidaceae. The record is from RNAcentral.
GUUCGAUCCUUCCGUCCCAGA